This 397-nucleotide ribosomal RNA is filed under the name uncultured bacterium. RNAcentral's name for it is "partial 16S ribosomal RNA". It matches the Rfam family "Bacterial small subunit ribosomal RNA", at positions 523 to 918 of the family's 1533-position model. The record is from RNAcentral.
AUACGUAGGUGGCAAGCGUUGUCCGGAAUUAUUGGGCGUAAAGCGCGCGCAGGUGGUUCCUUAAGUCUGAUGUGAAAGCCCCCGGCUCAACCGGGGAGGGUCAUUGGAAACUGGGGAACUUGAGUGCAGAAGAGGAUAGUGGAAUUCCAAGUGUAGCGGUGAAAUGCGUAGAGAUUUGGAGGAACACCAGUGGCGAAGGCGACUGUCAGGUCUGUAACUGACACUGAGGCGCGAAAGCGUGGGGAGCAAACAGGAUUAGAUACCCUGGUAGUCCACGCCGUAAACGAUGAGUGCUAAGUGUUGGGGGGUUUCCGCCCCUCAGUGCUGCAGCUAACGCAUUAAGCACUCCGCCUGGGGAGUACGGUCGCAAGACUGAAACUCAAAUGAAUUGACGGGG